CCUACGGGUGGCAGCAGUCGAGAAUCAUUCACAAUGGGGGAAACCCUGAUGGUGCGACGCCGCGUGGGGGAAUGAAGGUCUUCGGAUUGUAAACCCCUGUCAUGUGGGAGCAAAUUAAAAAGAUAGUACCACAAGAGGAAGAGACGGCUAACUCUGUGCCAGCAGCCGCGGUAAUACAGAGGUCUCAAGCGUUGUUCGGAAUCACUGGGCGUAAAGCGGGCGUAGGCUGUUUCGUAAGUCGUGUGUGAAAGGCGCGGGCUCAACCCGCGGAUGGCACAUGCUACUGCGGGACUAGAGUAAUGGAGGGGGAACCGGAAUUCUCGGUGUAGCAGUGAAAUGCGUAGAUAUCGAGAGGAACACUCGUGGCGAAGGCGGGUUGCUGGACAGUAACUGACGCUGAGGCACGAAGGCCAGGGGAGCGAAAGGGAUUAGAUACCCCAGUAGUC
Molecule: ribosomal RNA, 446 nt
Filed under: uncultured bacterium
Lineage: Bacteria
Description: partial 16S ribosomal RNA
Rfam family: Bacterial small subunit ribosomal RNA
Source: RNAcentral